This 99-nucleotide signal recognition particle RNA is filed under the name Spirochaetaceae bacterium. Its description in RNAcentral is "signal recognition particle sRNA small type". It matches the Rfam family "Bacterial small signal recognition particle RNA". Rfam says of the family: The signal recognition particle (SRP) is a universally conserved ribonucleoprotein involved in the co-translational targeting of proteins to membranes. Archaeal SRP consists of a 7S RNA and homologues of the eukaryotic SRP19 and SRP54 proteins. The record is from RNAcentral. Lineage: Bacteria; Pseudomonadati; Spirochaetota; Spirochaetia; Spirochaetales; Spirochaetaceae.
AAUCAGGAACUAUGCGGACACACGCUGCCUAACCCCGCCAGGUUCGGAAGGAAGCAACGGUAAGUAGAAGAGUGUCGCGCCGUAGCACCCCUGAUUAUA